This 939-nucleotide long non-coding RNA is filed under the name Coccomyxa subellipsoidea. RNAcentral describes it as "long non-coding RNA (CSUB_LNC000497)". The record is from RNAcentral. Lineage: Eukaryota; Viridiplantae; Chlorophyta; Trebouxiophyceae; Coccomyxaceae.
GGCGACGGGGAACAGCGGCGCCAACAAGCGCGGUGCAGUCUCUGAGGUGGACGUCCCCAAGGUACAGUAGGUCUUGGUCAUGACAGCUCUGCCGCAGACAAGUAAAGAGAAUGGACAGUGGAAACUCCAUCAGAAUUGCCCAUUGGAGACGUGCUAUCUGAGACUCGGCUCUGCUUUGCUGUGCAGGUGCUGCAGAGCCUGCCCUGGUUUUCAGACACCCGAGCCAGGCGCGACAUGGCCGCCAGCGCCAUGAGCGGCGAGGGCUCCUUCGGGGCCGUUGAGGUGCACACGGCCCUGCAGGCAGCCCACAAGCUGGUCUGGGACCACGAACUGAUGCAUGGUGCGCGCCUGCCCUGUCCUUUUCCUUACAAACUGGGAAACCACCCGUGCUAGUUGUUGAGCUGGAAUUGAAUGCACAGAAGUGCUUACGGCAGUUGCUGGCUGCUAGGCAGGUCAAAGGCAACCCCGUCUGAUCAGGAUCCUUUGGUAAAUCCUAACAAAAAUUACCUCCUCUAGAAAUAGUGUGGCAUGCGUGUGCAGGGCGCGAUGAGUUUGUGGGGGAGACAUGGCCGGGCUUCCUGAGGAGCCUGGAGGCGCAGUUUCUGACCUCCAAGAAGCUGGACAGAAUGUCCGACCUCAAGCUGCUCUUCACUGCGCUCCUCAACUUCACUCCCGCCGACCAGAUCUGAGGCUGACAUGACCUCAUUGGUGACUGGAUACCUGAUCAAGACGCAUGUGGUCAAGAGGCUGCCAUGCAGAACAGUCAAGCGCUGAUGUGCUUGUUUUGAUACCUGGUCUGGACAUGGUAGAUGAAUUAGCUUGCAGAGGAGCCAAGGGACAUGGUUCCCCUAGUACUGUAUUUAUGACUUCUGAGUAUAUUCCUGUCCUGCACGAAAAGGAAAGGCGGUACCGGAUCUGUUGUAAACACCAUUGCCAAGA